This 88-nucleotide transfer RNA is filed under the name Pseudomonas sp. RNAcentral describes it as "tRNA-Ser". It matches the Rfam family "tRNA". From Rfam's summary of the family: Transfer RNA (tRNA) molecules are approximately 80 nucleotides in length. Their secondary structure includes four short double-helical elements and three loops (D, anti-codon, and T loops). Lineage: Bacteria; Pseudomonadati; Pseudomonadota; Gammaproteobacteria; Pseudomonadales; Pseudomonadaceae. The record is from RNAcentral. RNAcentral also lists the same sequence under 6 other names.
GGAAGCGUGGCCGAGUGGUUUAAGGCAGCGGUCUUGAAAACCGCCGAUGGGCAACUAUCCUAGAGUUCGAAUCUCUACGCUUCCGCCA